Molecule: ribosomal RNA, 376 nt
Filed under: uncultured bacterium
Lineage: Bacteria
Description: bacterial SSU rRNA
Rfam family: Bacterial small subunit ribosomal RNA
Source: RNAcentral
AGCGAACGCUGGCGGCAGGCUUAAUACAUGCAAGUCGAGCGCCUGUAGCAAUACAGGAGCGGCAGACGGGAGAGUAACACGUGGGAACGUGCCCUUUGGUUCGGAACAACACAGGGAAACUUGUGCUAAUACCGGAUAAGCCCUUACGGGGAAAGAUUUAUCGCCAAAGGAUCGGCCCGCGUCUGAUUAGCUAGUUGGUGGGUAAUGGCCCACCAAGGCGACGAUCAGUAGCUGGUCUGAGAGGACGACCAGCCACACUGGGACUGAGACACGGCCCAGACUCCUACGGGAGGCAGCAGUGGGGAAUAUUGGACAAUGGGCGAAAGCCUGAUCCAGCGAUGCCGCGUGUGUGAAGAAGGCCUGCGGGUUGUAAAGC